UGUAGACAGUACAAAUAUUUAAAGUAAAGCAAAAAUACCAUACUUUCAGUUAUAUAUUUAUUAUAAAAUUACUAACAUCAAAAGACAAAAGGUGCCAUCAAAUCACACCUUACGGAAAUAUAAAGCAUGACUUUCAAUUGUUUACUUAUUACAAAAUUACGAACGUUAGAACACAAAGCAAGGUAUUGUGCAAACACAAAGACACGUUCAAUGAAAAGGUUAAACAAAAUUGUUCGAAUGCACAGUGAGAUUGUUUCGUCGGUAUUUUACCAGGAAUCCUCUGAUUCUUUUUUCACGUUUUUGUCGAAUCACCAGACAAAUACUUUUGUACUGGGACGUUUGCAUGAAGCUUUGGAUUGUUGGAGCUGGAACGUGUUUCGGAGGAUACACAAACUUGCAACAGAUUUUAUCGCCGAAAUAAAUUUUGCUUAAAAAGAUUUACGUUCAAAACCGCUAUUUCGCGUCACGGACUCUGGCCACCAAAGUAAUUGACGAUUCUAAUACUGUUUCACCUUGAACUUCUGCUCGCAUGGAGGUUUUAUAAUUUCAAAGUUCAAAUUACGCAAUCCUAUGGGUCUUUAGCUUUCUACUCAAGUGCGAGUUCAAGAAACCACGAUUAUUUUCGGAUCAUCCGAAAGUUGUACUUGUAUUUAGAUAUGUAUCUACGGCGGAGUCCCGCUACAUGGCCCUGGACCAGAAUGUAGGAGAGGAAAUUGUGCAGCAGGUCAAAUUUGCAGAUUCCGUCCUACGACGCGCACGACAAAGGCAUCCAAGAUACAGGCAGCCCGAUUGAAUUUCAAUACGCAGAAGCAGCGUAUGUUGUGCCGUUGCUGUUGGGCAAUGAAAGGCUUCCACGGGCUUGACGUUCGUUCGAUUGUCUUUCCACUUUCCAUUGUCUUCGAUCGGGCCAACGUUUACCUCGAAGCAUCAUCGAGAACCCUCUUCUUCUUCUUCUUCUUCCCGCGUUGCGUUCGAGCGUGUAACGGAAUUCUUAAUGCGUCACUCGAUGCGCAGGUUUCGAUCAUCGAAUCAACGGACAACGACAACGGGCUUUUCCCGUUUUCGACGACGAUGAUGGAUAGAUAAUGCAGCCCUGCCAACCACGAUAAUGACGUGCCUGAUAUUAUCGCGUUAUUUCACUCGCGAGGGAUUACUCAGGUUCCUUCUUUCUUUUUUUUCAUGCGAGGAUCAUUUGUGCUCACGGAGCGAAUUGAUGCGGCUGAUCAAUCAGCCAACGAUGAUUUUUGACAGCCACGCUUAAUAGCUUCCUUGUCGGGAUGUGGCGCGAUACUUUUUUCAGAGAGAAGAUUUGGCGUGAAAUGUAGUAUCAAGGAUAUACGAAUCCUCUGCCUUAUAUCGUGUAUGUGACGCAAAUGUUUGUUGAAAUGCGACAAUUUUCACCGUAAUGGAAUUUCUAGUUUAAUUUUCAUUUCAAGUUCACCAAUGAUCGCCAUACCCAGAGUAAUUCAGAUUUAAAAAAUAUUGAAUGGUGACCUUUCGAGUGGGUUAAGGUGUAAAUAAUAUACCCACACGUCUGUUCAAAUGAUCACAACCGGAAAUUUGAGUAUUAAGUUUUAUUAAAAUAAUUGCGAGCAGGAAAAUAAAUCGAGUAAUAAUAUUUCGCGAUUAUUUUUCAGCGGAAACGUAUUUAACAGGAUGUUCCUUCUUAAUAUUCAAACGCAGAGGAGGUGCGUUAAUAGGAAAGUGGUUUCCCAGGGAACAAAGAAACGAUUACACGCCGCAUUAUCGAGGCUCCAUCGUGUUAUGAAUUAUAAGCACUCGAAUAUACCGAAUGGUCGAUGAAAUUUUCAAUCGUACAUAACACAGUUUAUACGAUGGGCUUUUCAAUCAUACGUGACCACUAUUUUGAUGUCGCCCGCUAAAUUGUACGCUUCCGUUUCGAUUAGCUCGACUGUUUACCUUGUUCAGUGUGCACAGAAAAUUUUAAGCAUUGUAAUAAAUAUUCACGAGUUAUCUUCGAAGAUAUUUUUCUGCUGUAUAUUUACAUUACUUUUUUUAAUAAUAAAAGACCAUUUUAUAAUA
Long non-coding RNA from Megachile rotundata (alfalfa leafcutting bee), 2043 nucleotides. RefSeq lists it as uncharacterized. NCBI's taxonomy places the organism in Eukaryota, Metazoa, Arthropoda, Insecta, Hymenoptera, Megachilidae. The record is from RefSeq and is a predicted model, not a curated record.